CCUACGGGGGGCAGCAGUGGGGUAUAUUGGACAAUGGGGGGAACCCUGAUCCAGCCAUGCCGCGUGUGUGAAGAAGGCCCUCGGGUUGUAAAGCACUUUCAGUGAGGAAGAACGCCUGGUGGUUAAUACCCAUCAGGAAAGACAUCACUCACAGAAGAAGCACCGGCUAACUCCGUGCCAGCAGCCGCGGUAAUACGGAGGGUGCGAGCGUUAAUCGGAAUUACUGGGCGUAAAGCGCGCGUAGGUGGCUUGAUAAGCCGGUUGUGAAAGCCCCGGGCUCAACCUGGGAACGGCAUCCGGAACUGUCAAGCUAGAGUGCAGGAGAGGAAGGUAGAAUUCCCGGUGUAGCGGUGAAAUGCGUAGAGAUCGGGAGGAAUACCAGUGGCGAAGGCGGCCUUCUGGACUGACACUGACACUGAGGUGCGAAAGCGUGGGUAGCAAACAGGAUUAGAUACCCGGGUAGUC
RNAcentral lists this ribosomal RNA (465 nucleotides) under Vreelandella stevensii. RNAcentral describes it as "partial 16S ribosomal RNA". It matches the Rfam family "Bacterial small subunit ribosomal RNA", at positions 338 to 795 of the family's 1533-position model. Lineage: Bacteria; Pseudomonadati; Pseudomonadota; Gammaproteobacteria; Oceanospirillales; Halomonadaceae. The record is from RNAcentral.